Molecule: transfer RNA, 104 nt
Filed under: Burkholderia multivorans
Lineage: Bacteria; Pseudomonadati; Pseudomonadota; Betaproteobacteria; Burkholderiales; Burkholderiaceae
Description: tRNA-Cys
Source: RNAcentral
GGCGGCUGAAUUGGAUGGUCAAAUACCUCAACAUGCUGAUGUUGAAACUGUUCCGACGGCCUGCAAAGCCGUUUAGGCCGGUUCGACUCCGGCCCGCGCCUCCA